UACGUAGGGUCCAAGCGUUAAUCGGAAUUACUGGGCGUAAAGCGCGCGUAGGCGGGUUGGUAAGUCCGCUGUGAAAGCCCGGAGCUCAACUCCGGAGGGUCGGUGGAUACUGCCAGUCUUGAAGGUGCUAGGGGGAGAUGGAAUUACCGGUGUAGCGGUGAAAUGCGUAGAUAUCGGUAGGAACACCAGUGGCGAAGGCGGUCUCCUGGGGCAUUCUUGACGCUGAGGCGCGAAAGCUGGGGGAGCGAACGGG
Molecule: ribosomal RNA, 253 nt
Filed under: uncultured bacterium
Lineage: Bacteria
Description: partial 16S ribosomal RNA
Rfam family: Bacterial small subunit ribosomal RNA
Source: RNAcentral